AUGAAAAACGUCCAGAUCAUGUUCAUACUGAAUUCUAACAAGUCAUUAGGCGAUCUGUUCCACGGAGUAUGGCUGGGGUCCGGCUGGCGGCCAGGCUCCCUGCAGGGCCGAGGGCCCAGGGCCAGGACCGGGGUGUCGUGUGCGGAGCCCCCGCCGUGCGGAGCCCCAGGGGUGGGCGGCCCGAGUGCAGAUGUCCUGACACCUCGACCUUCAGACAGAGGAGACACACAGUCAGGUAGGAGACACCUAAACAAUUUAACGGAGAGCAGACAAGUUCGGAGAGACUCUGGAUCAGGUCUGGAGCUCCGGGAGUCGUCGAGCACCUUAGAUGGAUUAUGGAAAGGAGGAGAGUUUGGAGCAAUAAGUUACUGGGAAAGGAGUAAGACCAGUUGCAGAGAAGGAAUGGGCUUAAUGAUGAGAGGUCUGUGCUGCAUUAUUUUUCCUCCAGCUGGCUGA
RNAcentral lists this long non-coding RNA (456 nucleotides) under Vulpes vulpes (red fox). RNAcentral describes it as "lncRNA (ENSVVUG00000016859.1)". The record is from RNAcentral. Lineage: Eukaryota; Metazoa; Chordata; Mammalia; Carnivora; Canidae.